This 575-nucleotide ribosomal RNA is filed under the name uncultured bacterium. RNAcentral's name for it is "bacterial SSU rRNA". It matches the Rfam family "Bacterial small subunit ribosomal RNA", at positions 81 to 652 of the family's 1533-position model. The record is from RNAcentral.
UGCUCUGGUGGCGAGUGGCGAACGGGUGAGUAAUAUAUCGGAACGUACCCUAGAGUGGGGGAUAACGUAGCGAAAGUUACGCUAAUACCGCAUACGAUCUAAGGAUGAAAGUGGGGGAUCGCAAGACCUCAUGCUCGUGGAGCGGCCGAUAUCUGAUUAGCUAGUUGGUAGGGUAAAAGCCUACCAAGGCAUCGAUCAGUAGCAGGUCUGAGAGGACGACCAGCCACACUGGAACUGAGACACGGUCCAGACUCCUACGGGAGGCAGCAGUGGGGAAUUUUGGACAAUGGGCGAAAGCCUGAUCCAGCAAUGCCGCGUGAGUGAAGAAGGCCUUCGGGUUGUAAAGCUCUUUUGUCGGGGAAGAAACGGUGAGAGCUAAUAUCUCUUGCUAAUGACGGUACCUGUAGAAUAAGCACCGGCUAACUACGUGCCAGCAGCCGCGGUAAUACGUAGGGUGCAAGCGUUAAUCGGAAUUACUGGGCGUAAAGCGUGCGCAGGCGGUUUUGUAAGUCUGAUGUGAAAUCCCCGGGCUCAACCUGNGAAUUGCAUUGGAGACUGCAAGGCUAGAAUCUGGC